AAGUUUGCAAAUCAUUGAUCCAUCUUCUUGGUCGGUAUAUUGUGUAUACUAGCUUAGUGAUGCAUAGUGACAGUACAAUUCGUCAGUUUCAUUAACUAGGAACUAAAGGCCAACAAGUUAGUCCCUGCUGGCCAGGACUCGGACAUCAUCACAUGCCUCAAACUUAUUUAAUUCCUAGGGAUUUAACAGUUUGCUGGUACCAAAAGUUAGCAACAUGGCCCCCAUCUGACUGGGACGACAGUUGAUUGUCUCAACUAAGACCAUGAAUGACAACAACUAAUCCCCUGCUCGUCAAUCUUUUAAUAACAAUGUACUGAUUGGAACUUUCAAAAUACGGUAGCAGUCAACAAAUUACAAUUUCCAUGUAAUUUAUAAACUUUGAAGUUUUCAAUAUAAAAGGAAAUAACUUCAUUAAAUCAUAAGUGAAAGCAAUGAGUUGCAUCAUCAUUAUAAAGAAACAUUCAAAAGCACAAUAAUGUGAUUUCAAAGACAAAGUGAUUACUUCAAGGAUAUAGAUAAACAAAUAAACAAGAAGUUUUAGAUCUAUUUUUCAAAAUCUGAAGUACAUUGUGUCUAACCUUUUACCGGUUAUUUCUAUUCUAGCUCUUAAGGAUGACUUCCUACCAUUCAAAGACAACUCAAAGUCAUUCUCCAACUGUCCAUAGGUCUCUGAAAAUUCAAUGAACAUAUAAACUAUAGCACUUCGUUAGUACUCUGACUUCACAAAUUCUAGCAACGAGGAAAAAUUAUAUCAAAUAUUUGACUUAGCAUUGGAGUUUUUUUUGGUACAACUAGAUCUCGCAAAGAUUUGGCCUCAAAAUUUCAAGUUUAUAUUUUUUUUUUCAAGAAAAAAACUCAAAUCAACAUUAUAGCUAGAUACUAUUCCGUUGAUCUAGCACUCCAAAAUAAAUUCAACAUAAUCUCUUAGGGAAGGGUUCAAUUCUUGGUUGUCUCCAGAUUAAAAUAUCUGCAUAUAAUCUUAGGGUGCAUAAACUUUCAUGCCAAAAUUCAAAUUCUUGGUCAACCAAAUCGAGGGUCCAUGAAAGAGCAUUCAGCAUUGUAAUCCCCAUAAUACAGCUUCAAUUCUCCUCCAUGUGUAACACCUCUAUGAGUAGAAUUAAUUCUUGAUUUUCUCCAAAAAUCUACAAGUGAACAUCAUAGUUAACAAAAUUUCAAAUCCAAAGCCACUUCUUAUUCAGUUGAUACAAAUUAUACAGUACAAUAUCCUUAAUGCUUUUUUCUUUGGGGUAUUAUAAUCAUAUUUUUGCUAAAAUAUAAUGCCGGAGACCUAGAGGGUUGGCCUUUGUGCAACAAUAAAGUUGCCCAUUAUGACUUAGGUGUCAUGGUUUACAAAUACAGAAAUAGCCUCUUCCCAUGCAAGGGUAAGGUUGCAUGCUUCUAAUCCUCCACAAACCUUGCAAUGGUAGGAGACUUACGCACUAGGCCCAAGACCUAACAAGAUUUGAGAAAUCCUUUAUAAUUAGUAAUUUUUUUCGAAUUUCAUGACUAAAAGAAUUUAACAACUACAACAAGAACCCUAAAAAGAAGUAAGGCUUGUUGAAUUAAAUCUGACCUCAAAUAUCUCGAGUUUGGAGCUUGCAACUCUCGGUCAAUUCUAUUUCUUCAAGCUCAGAAAUUUCUCAAAAUCUUCAACUAUAUAAAAUUUAGCACCUACCACAAACAUAAUAAUAAAUCAAGAAAAGUCACAUUUUCUCGAACCUAAUGAAAAAUCCUACAACUUAUUUCCUCCAAAAUCCCUAAUAUUUUUGUCAAUAAGUUUGUAAAUCAAUAGUUACCUUCACCCUUGAAAACAUUUUCUUGUUCAAAACUUUUGAUUCUCCAAUGAAAAUUGUUUCAAUACUUGUUUUCCAUUAAAACAUUUUUUUGAGACAUUUGUAGGGUCUAACACCCACCUUUCUACCCUUAUUGCCACCGCAUCCUUAGAGGAUGAGUCCACCUCUUGCCCAUGUCCCAGGAGGUGGUACCAUUCGAACUAAAGUUCAG
RNAcentral lists this long non-coding RNA (2004 nucleotides) under Phoenix dactylifera (date palm). RNAcentral describes it as "long non-coding RNA (PDAC_LNC013543)". Lineage: Eukaryota; Viridiplantae; Streptophyta; Magnoliopsida; Arecales; Arecaceae. The record is from RNAcentral.